UGUCGAGGAAAUCAUCGACAGUUAACUGCAGCCGGUUUUUUAAUUCCUCGGCAGUUAACUGCCAAGUGGGCAU
RNAcentral lists this microRNA precursor (73 nucleotides) under Medicago truncatula (barrel medic). RNAcentral describes it as "MIR2629 microRNA precursor family". It matches the Rfam family "MIR2629 microRNA precursor family". Lineage: Eukaryota; Viridiplantae; Streptophyta; Magnoliopsida; Fabales; Fabaceae. The record is from Rfam by way of RNAcentral.